GUCUGAGAACCCCGUGAACUGAGGGGUCUUUGGGGAGAGAAUUCUGAGGACCAUCCGCCCAUCCCUCGGGAGAGAAGGUGAAAAUGAACGGGACCCUGCCCCGGUCUUCUAUGGAGAAGAUAGGAAGCCCCUAGGGAAAGCCGCCAUUCCUGUGGAACUGAGGGAACCCAGGACAAAUGGUCUCGAGGAUUGCUUGAGAACGGGAAUGCAGUGCACAAAAGAAUUCAGAGAAAUUUGUGUAGAGAAAAGCUGAACAAGACAAUAUGAAUUACACUGACAGACAAAUAACUGCACGGCAAUUUACUGAUUAGAUUUUUUUAAGAAUGAGUUCACCCUGAGGC
Callorhinchus milii (elephant shark) is the source of this 341-nucleotide long non-coding RNA. RefSeq lists it as uncharacterized. The record is from RefSeq and is a predicted model, not a curated record. The transcript is spliced from 3 exons. NCBI's taxonomy places the organism in Eukaryota, Metazoa, Chordata, Chondrichthyes, Chimaeriformes, Callorhinchidae.